GAUGCUUAACUGACUAAGCCAUCUAGGCGCCCCUGCCUGAAAUUUUAAAUUCUAAAGUUAGUUUUGAAGAUCCAUCAUCCUUCACUUGCCUAUGACAGAACUGUUAUAGGAAUGACAUGGGAUAAUUUAGUGCUACUGAGGCAUUCUUACUACACGAGAGUUUGCUGUAUGUGGGGGUUGUGCUAGAUGUUUGAAUUUCAAAGGUGAAACAUGAGAGGGUUAGCACAAUGGGAAUGAGUUUUGGAUCCUAUCUAUUAUGAGCCAAACAUUGUGUUGGGCACUCUAUGCAUACCAUCUCAUCUAACACCCCAAUACUAUGUAUUCUUUUUCAGAUACAGAAACUGAGGCUUUAAGCUAUUAAAGCUAAGAUCAUUCAGCUUAAUAUAUAUGGUGGGGGAGAAUUAAAAUAUUCUGUAAUAUUUAUUAGUUUAUGUGUCUGAAUUCUAAUACGGAAUCAUGAACAAAUGAUCUGGGAACUCAGGAAAAAACAAGUUGUUCUUUCCCAGGUGUGGUUCCAAGGUAAUAUUUCGGUUGGGGUUUGGAAGUCAUAUGAGAACGAUGGGAGCAGCCAUCUUUCUGACUGAAGGAUUGGAUUGAGCAAGUUUUUGCACAGGUGAAAGUGAAUGAGACAGGGAGUAGGUGGACAUUUCUCAGGUACAGGGUACGUUGCAAGGUGGCUCAUGCAGCAAAGUGGGGGUAGUGGAUGCUGUUAAUGCGCCAACCCAUAUCCUUAAACUCACCUCUGAAUCCACCUGAAGCUGUUGUGGAUUGUUUGCCAAUUUAAACACCAGGGCCUCUGCUUCUCAGCCUGGAGACUUUUUCUGUCAGCAGAAACAUUUGCUCAAUUGCAGAUAGCUGUGAGAUGGACGUGUGGGGAGUUAACCCGAGGGGCACUCCUCAACCUAGGGGAGUUAGGAGUCAGUGGUAAUACUUUAGUUCCUAUAGUGUAAGCCUUGACAGUUGCUUCUCCCCACCACCCCCCCCCCCUUUUUUUUUUUUACAAUGCAAGCACAUGCCCUAAGCUUUGAUUGCUAAGCAUCCAAAGAGGCAUCCACUUCAAAGACAGAUAUCUUGAAUAAACACAUUGCCAGCCACAGGACUGGAUGCAAAGUCAGGCCACCUUCCCCAACUGAGGCUCCCUUGAUUUAGAAAUCUUGGCUGAUUUCCAUUAACUCACCAUUUGGGCCACCUGUCUUUUCUCUUCCCUGUAUUUUAAAUUCCCACCCUUAGGUUUUAAAUGCACCAAUAAGAAAGGAGCCCUUGAAAUCCUAUGCCCCCACACUCAAUUCCAAUAAAAGCAGAAGCCCCUCCCCUUUUUCCAGUGCACUCUGCCUCCUCCUUUCUCUAACUACAACCUCACCGUGAGGCCCCAAAUGUGCUGUGUAAGUUCCAGAUCUUGAUCUGAACUUCAUGGACACAGUGGAGGAGACUGAGCUCCCUUGAUUUCUGACUGCAUACAGUGUUCGGUCAAUAAGAAAUCGUAUGGCAUCAGAGGAAGAGAGGAGAAAGGUCAGAUGAAUCUGCUCAUAAUCCCAAAGUAUUCUCCCUCCUGACUACAUCAGAGAAACUUCUCAUGGCAUAGAAACUGCCAGCAGCCAGAUGAAGACACCUGUCCCUAUCUGCAUGUGGAGUCAUAAGCAGUCAUUUCCUAGCUUGGCAGCACUCCUUCAAGUGACAUUUCCAACACCACCUAGAGAACCAGGAAAUUCAGUCAGGCAGGCAGCACCAGAGGUGGGCCUGAUCAAGUCCCUGUUGGCAAAUUCUUGUUCAAGAAAUAAGAAAAAGGGGAAGACCCUGGACAUAAAUCCCAACAUGCUAUAGAGAAUUUUUUGGAGGUAAUUGCUGAUUUGCAAAUAGGCAAAGUUUUUAAGCUUUGACUUGUUUAGAAUAUGGAAGAAAAUAAUAAUAAUAAUAAAAAGGACAGUCUUAUUUCUUUUAUAAUUACCCACACAGAAUGAAGAGAACUGAGGAAAUUAAUCUUAAUGACCCAAACCCCUCCCCUCUAGAAACAUACUUUCCCUCAUUGUAUGGGUAUUUCAAAUAAUCAGAUCCCCAAAAUGGCUUCUAGUUCUUCUCCUUUUCAUGGCUAGGUAGCUUUCCUCUUUCUCUCUUUUUUUACUUCCUUCCUUUCUUCUUACAAAUAAUUAUUGAAUACAUAGAAUAUUACAGGCCCUUAGGAUACAUCAGUUAACUUUAUAGACAUUGUCUUUGCCUUCGUGGAACUUAGUCUGGUUGGGGGAUCAGGCAUCAAAUUAAAAUUUACACAAAGUGUUAUAUAAUUGCAGUAAUUUCAGUAAUAAUAAAUAUAGUACUAUAUUAUAUUAACUUUUAACAAGUCUGUAAGUUCAGGGAAGGCUUUCCCAAAGACAACAAUAUUCAUUGUUGAGACUAAAAGGAUAAAUAAUACACAAAGCAAUCCCAAAUAUAGAAGCCUCCCAGAAAAUGGAAAGACAAAGAAAAUGAACAAAACAAUCUCUAAUAUAGUCUAGAUUUAGACCCAUAGUCAACAUUAUAUCAACGAGAAAGUGAUGCUCUUUCUACAAUCUCUUUUUGGAAUCCUAUUCCUGAAGAGAAGAGACUGCUGUUAAAUACCUGAAAAAAUGUCAUCACUAUUAACAGAUAACCUAAAUGUAUUUGUAAUCCAGAGCUUAGAUGAUCUGUAUAGCUAAAAGAACAAAUACCAGCAAAUAAUACCCAAAGGGGUGUUAGAAAACAUAUAUUCUGUCCAAACUGAAUUAUUUGCAUCCCCAGCAUGGAAGUGUAUUUAUUAGGGUAUAAGUUUGACUGCCAUGACAGAAACUCAAAACAAUAGAAGCUUAAACAUAGUGGAAGUUUUGUUUUUCUCUCUACUAACCACCUGAGUAUAAGAAUACCAGAAUUAGGAUGGUAGCUCCAUGGUGUGAAGGCACAGUCUUCUUAUAUCAUGUUGUUUUAUGCUCUCUAGAAUGUUGCCCUCAUCUGCAUGUUUCAAGAUGACUCAUAAGAAAGGGAAAAGAAGUUAAAGAGAAGUACAUUCCCUUUUAAGAGGCACAACCCAGAAUUUUCUGAUGUCAUUUCUGCUCUUAAAUCAUGACCUAGAUGGACCUAGUCACAAGGCCACACCUAGCUUUGGAAACAGUCAUUAUUCUGGGUACUCAUAUGCCCAAGUGAAAAAUAUGAGAAAGAAAAUGAUAUCAGAUAAUUGGGAGAAAUGCAUAUACCACCACAAUGACAAACAUGAAAAACAUUAUGAUAACCCAAAGGAUAUAAGAAUGAGUUAGGCUAGUUUCCUGACCUGAAGGAUGCCAGGAGCCAAUGGUUGGGAGAGGCAGCAGACAUGCACUAGAGGAGAGGUAGAUUUUAGGGAUGAGGAAAGGCCAUACAUUGAUUCUCUUUGGGGAAUUAUCAUAGAAAAGGUAACAGCUAAGUUGGGUUCUAAAUUAUGUGUCAGAUUUCAACAGGAAGAGAAAGGUAAGAACCCUUCAGGAAGAGGAAACCAUGUUACAGCAACUUCCUUGAUGGAUCUACAUGAGCUUAAUAUGCUUGUUGCUGUAUCCACACGUUAUCUUUAGUCAGAUGAUUUAAAGAAUAAUCUUAAUUACAAGUCUUAGUCAAAGUAAUGAGUAUUAUCCAUUUUAAUGCAAAAGUGAAUUGUGAAAGUUUUUGAAUCAUAACUAGUGCAUUCCUGAGUGGUGAGAUCCCGCUUGAUAGACCUAACAAAAUGAUGAAGGCUGAGAUUCUUCUUGGAAGUGUUAAUCCACAAAGUAUGUAGCCAUAAACAUGCCUUUUCCUUUUACAUUCUAAAGACAUCCACAAAGUAAGGUAAACAGUGAAGAAGGAUCUGUAAAAUAAUCCAUCUCAAGACUAUCACAACUCAUAAAAAUUGAGUUAACUAAACUCUGUCCAGAUGAGAAAAUAGCAGUCAUAAUUUCCAUGAGUAUAUGAAUUUAUGGUUUUAAAAGAGUGUACUUUACAUACAUUGUCAGUUAAUACUUAAUAUAAAUCUAUGCUAUAGGUACAGCUGGUAUUAUUAUUUCAAUUUUAAGAGUGACACAACCAAAUCUAAAAGAUAUAAA
Long non-coding RNA from Felis catus (domestic cat), 4055 nucleotides. RefSeq lists it as uncharacterized. The transcript has 4 exons. The record is from RefSeq and is a predicted model, not a curated record. NCBI's taxonomy places the organism in Eukaryota, Metazoa, Chordata, Mammalia, Carnivora, Felidae.